UUCAAUCUGGCAGAAAUAGAAAAUGUGAUGAAUUUAGGCUUCAUAGUUGGGUAUAUUCCGGUUGAAA
Molecule: transfer RNA, 67 nt
Filed under: Pseudocellus pearsei
Lineage: Eukaryota; Metazoa; Arthropoda; Arachnida; Ricinulei; Ricinoididae
Description: tRNA-Leu
Source: RNAcentral